UACGAAGGGGGCUAGCGUUGUUCGGAAUUACUGGGCGUAAAGGGCUCGUAGGUGGCCAACUAAGUCAGACGUGAAAUCCCUCAGCUUAACUGGGGAACUGCGUCUGAUACUGGAUGGCUUGAGUUUGGGAGAGGGAUGCGGAAUUCCAGGUGUAGCGGUGAAAUGCGUAGAUAUCUGGAGGAACACCGGUGGCGAAGGCGGCAUCCUGGACCAAUACUGACACUGAGGAGCGAAAGCCAGGGGAGCAAACGGG
Molecule: ribosomal RNA, 253 nt
Filed under: uncultured bacterium
Lineage: Bacteria
Description: partial 16S ribosomal RNA
Rfam family: Bacterial small subunit ribosomal RNA
Source: RNAcentral